CGGCGUGGCUCGCGCGUGCGCAGCCGCCUGUGAGGGCGUGUGCCGUGUGGGAAUGUUACGUGAGGAAUGCAGAGACGGUGCUAAUUAAAACUCGCAUCUAAGCACUGGAGGGUGUUUACAAGAGCACGUAUUGACAGGACAAGGGAGAAUGGCUUCAAACGCAGCGAGAGUAGGUUUAGGUUAGUGUCCUGUGGGGCUGCAGCUUUGGGAGAUGACUGUCAUCAGAGAGUGGAAGCUUCUCCUGCUAAUUUCUGCACUCCUUUGCCCACUCCCAGCAGUGUUCUCCAGCUCCUUAACCGUGCCAGCCUCCAUCUAGCGCCUGAGGGACCCCCGCAGACAUGCAAAUUUAACCUCCUGAGCUAGCAAAAGAAAAAAAAAACAACAAAAAACCCACAAAAAAAUCACACAAAAAAACCUCCCAAACAAAGCCAGUGGGAAAACUGUCAUAUUCUACCGGAGUAAGAAAGGCUGAGGACCGUGUGACUGGAAUGGGGAUAAGAACAGACAGGGGAGGAGGAAGGGAAAGCCUUCCCCUUUUGGCAUGAGGGAGCUGCUAACAUUGACAGCUGCUUGUGAAACCGCAGCCUUAGGGCGGGCUGCCUAGUUACAGCAUUGAGCUCUUGAUCCCAGACUGGAUCCCAGCGGUCCUACCAGCACGGAGGUUUUACAGCCCCCUUUGGCAUUCAAACACGCUUCCCACCCUGCCCUCCUUUUUAUCAGACAUCUCAUCUGAGCAAGGAAGUGGUGACAGACAACCAAAAGGCAGGAGCUGCUUAACCUUUCACCGGUAAUUAACCUUGCAAGCACCGCUCCAGCCUCAGAAUGCCUCAGACAGGUGAGGUAAGGCCACACGGGAAGCUCAUUUAAACCAGUGGCUUUCUAAUCACUACAUAUACAGAACAUUUAAGGAACUGGAGGAGCAGCUGAGAUAGCACAGGGCUCCGAUUUUCCUCCUUUCAGCUGAUUCAAAAAGUCCCUCUAUCCUAGGAAGGAGGGACAAGCUGAUGUUUUCAUUUCCAGUAGAAGGAAUGAGACAAGAAAAUUGGAUCCUUAAGAGGAAGAGAUGCUUGCCAAUGAAGAACCUCUAUCUGCUUAGCAGAUUUUUCCUUUUCUUCUGUUGGAAUAAAAAUUAAACAACCACAACCCAAACCUAAAAAGUGGCUGAGAUAUUCCACAGCAGAUUGGCUGCAGUGGAGUUGCCUGGGGGGGACCCAGCAUGUAUGCUGGAGGUCAGUAGCACGUCCCCAGAGUGAGACUCUUGGGCUUUUUAUGCCUUCCUCUUUCUUAUUCAUUGCCUUGAGCAUGCCAAGGCUCUUUUUUACAAGCUGGCAUGCUGGGAUGAGAACCUCAGUAAGUGGCACAGGUUGAAGUGUGCCCGUGUGUUACAGCAACUCGAUGACUCAGGCAACAAAUGUUUCCUUUUUUUCCCUUGGGGUGAUGAUGCAUUGAGCUGAAGAAACCCGGGGAGAAGCAGAGUGCAGGGCCAAAAGUCUUCCUGGCAGAUGUGAGUCACUGGCGGGAGCCAGGUAGCUGCAGGAGUUGUAGGUGAAAGAGGCAGUCCCCCUCUGAAAUUCCUGUGUAGGUGGCACGUGGGACAGCAAGGAUUGGAAAAUGCCCUGGCUGCCUGGACUUAAAGAGCUUUACAAGGCAGUUAGUUGAAAAAGUAGGGGGGCACGUUUGAAAUGGGAGGAGAUAGACUUUGAAUAGUUGGUUUUCUUUUGGUGUUUUCCUUUUGCAGGGAAGCAGGAAAAAAAAUUGGGCUGGGACUUGUCCACUUUGCUUGCAUGCUGAAUAUGAGUUCGGUUUGGUUUUUGUUUGUUUGUUUGAUUUUUUUCUUUUUUUUCCCCAGGGGAAGAGGGGAACAGGAAUAAAAAAUCCCUGCAGAUAGCUACAUCUGGAGGGAAGGCUGGUGUAGUUGGCUUACAGAGAUUUGGGUUUGGGACAGAGAGUCGAUACACGUGUGAGUGGUACACAGGGGUCUAGACCAUUGCAGAAAAAGGGGAGGAGGCUGUUGUCUGAAACAUUUGGGAGCUGCUGAGAUAAAGUAAGCUGCUCCAUUCUGUUGGUUUGAAGUGCUCAAACAGUUGACUAUGAGAUCUCAGCUGGAAAUUGCAAAUUGCAGCAUGGAGAAAGUAAAGAGAAGCUUCCUGAACCACAUCUGGGGAGUAAUUCUUGAAUGUGGAGCCCUUUUCCAAUCUCUGUAAUAAUGAGUCUAGGCCUCGGAGUGACUGCACUCUGAAACAGAGUCAGCGUGUUGGUACCUGAAGUGUGACACUCAGUGCCACAUUGACAGGACCAUGUUGACAUGCCUGGAGUCACUGAUGCUUUAUUGGCAUUUUCUUGACACCAGCUCCUGUGGAGUUGUAGACUAUCAUCCACAGCCUUUUCUGUUAAGUAUUUUAAAUGGUACUGUUAUGUGUCUUGGUUUCUGAAAAGAGCAUUAAUUCUUCCAUUCAGUGUGUAAUGUAUACCAUGGAUUCAUUUCUCUGUAUUCAAAGAACCAUAUUUACCUAUUGGAAGUUUUCAGGUUUUUAAAGUAUAUUCUUUUUUUUUGUUUUGUUUGGGUUUUGUUUUGUUUGGGGUUUGUUUUUGUUUGUUUGUUUGUUUUUUGUUUGUUUGGGGGUUUUUUGUUGUUGUUGUUUUGGGUGUUUUGUUUUUGUGGGUUUUUUUUUUUUGUUUGUUUUGUUUUUUGGUUUGGUUUUUUUGCCAGGAGUGGACAUAGUAAAUUACACCUUAAAGUCUUGGUCUUUAUGAUCUGGUGCUAAGACAGCUGAGGCCACGAAUGGCUCUUGGGUGACUGAAGGCCUCACAGAGAAAAAGAACUGUACUAUGCAUUGACUCCAAGGGAGAAAUGAGAAGAGGUGGAUGUUCUGGAGCAUGUAUGUUAUAUGUCCUGUCUUAGUCAGGAGGGUGGAACUAGAUAAUCUUUAGAGGACCCCACCUUCAAAGAAGCUUCAACUUCAGCUACUUUAGAAUUCUGAACUAGGAAAAAAGUUUUUUUAAGAGGUAGGUGUCUGCAGCCUUUGUCGCUUGGAAUUUCAUUUUUGUUCUACUCCAUUUUUUCAGUAAUGAGUACAUUGAGAACUAACAACUUUCUCCCACCUUCAGCAUUACCUAUCCCUGUUGAUGCCUGGGUACUCAGAUCACAUGAAAAGCCAAAUAAAGACCCUGUGGAUUCACACUGUUUUGAGUAGAGUGCACACUGUGGACUUUGGCUCACUUCAUAAAAACUGUAUGUGAGGUAUGAAGUUACUACACAGCAAAAAUGUUUAUGGCACUUGCUUCUAGCUUGUGUGUACCCUUUAAGAUCUGAGGUGUCUGAAUUUUUUGUUCCAGAAAAUCUGACUGGGAAAGCUUGAAGAUACCCAUAUUAAAAUUUGAUUGUUACCACCUUGCACACUGUGCUUUUUCCCUAAUGGGGUACAAGGACACUGUAUAUUGGUGGGGGGAACACCAGCUUUACAGAUUUUUGCUUGAUGUAGCUUUAAAGAUAAAUGUCUCAUGGAGAUCUGUAUAGGGAUCAGACAUAAAUUAAGACAGUGCAGAGAGACAGAAAUUCUGGCAUUAAUCAUAAUACUUUUAUUUAAACAGUAAGGUGUGAUUUAAUGUAAGUGGUUUUAUUUUUAUUAAUACUAUAUGCUGAAUUUUGAACAGUACUGUACCUAAACAAUUUUACAAAUAUAACACUAAAUACACUUUUUAUUGCUCUUUUUUUUGCAUGAACAUAAAACCUGGAAAUGAAUACAAGAAUAAAUAAGGCACCCUACUAAUAUACUAUUUUUCUGUAUUGUAGUAGCAUGCAAAAAAUUUCAUUUUGCUUUUGCAAGUCACCUUCCUCAUUUUUCUUAUUAGAGAAAAAGUAAGAGUACAUUAUUUGGGGAAGUGCAUGUUUGAAAAGUCAAAACUUGAAAGCACUUUUUAAUUUUCUUAAUUCAACAGUCUACCUUACAAAACAGCUCUCGUAUAGCAUGUCCUAAUUUCUUUUUCUAAAGACAAAAAGUAUUUUUGUUCUUCCUUUGCUGUUACUAGGAAACAUGCCUUGCAAGAGGAGUGUUCACGUACUGCUUGAGACAAAAGACCUGACUUGCUUUUUUUAGCUGCAUUUUCUUCUUGUACUGACCCCACUCAAAAGAUAAAAAUAAAAAUGCAGAGGCAUCUUUCCUGACUUCUUGUAUGUGGCUGGGCCCAAAUCAGUGAUCAGCAAAAGAUGGGAGCUCCACAGAUGCUGCUUAAGGGCCUAUUCUAAAUUUCAGUAUGCCCUAAAUUAGGGCUUCUCAACAGUUUCAGAAUACAUUCUGUCCAAGUGUCCUUUCUCCACACUGGCUGUCACUCUGUCAGGGCUCAGGAGAACAGCGAUGCCUCAGCCACCCUCACAAACUUGUAAGCUGCUAGGGCAGAACUUGAUUUGCAGUGGCUUCAGUGAUUUGACAACCUACUGCCAAAAUGGUGACAAAUGAUAAAAUAAACAAACCAGAGGCACAA
Passer domesticus (house sparrow) is the source of this 4482-nucleotide long non-coding RNA. RefSeq lists it as uncharacterized. The record is from RefSeq and is a predicted model, not a curated record. Lineage: Eukaryota; Metazoa; Chordata; Aves; Passeriformes; Passeridae. The transcript has 2 exons.